UGGGGAAUUUUGGACAAUGGGCGAAAGCCUGAUCCAGCAAUGCCGCGUGUGUGAAGAAGGCCUUCGGGUUGUAAAGCACUUUUGUCCGGAAAGAAAUCCUUGGCUCUAAUACAGUCGGGGGGAUGACGGUACCGGAAGAAUAAGCACCGGCUAACUACGUGCCAGCAGCCGCGGUAAUACGUAGGGUGCAAGCGUUAAUCGGAAUUACUGGGCGUAAAGCGUGCGCAGGCGGUUUGCUAAGACCGAUGUGAAAUCCCGGGCUCAACCUGGGAACUGCAUUGGUGACUGGCAGGCUAGAGUAUGGCAGAGGGGGUAGAAUUCCACGUGUAGCAGUGAAAUGCGUAGAGAUGUGGAGGAAUACCGAUGGCGAAGGCAGCCCCCUGGGCCAAUACUGACGCUCAUGCACGAAAGCGUGGGGAGCAAACAGGAUUAGAUACCCUGGUAGUCCACGCCCUAAACGAUGUCAACUAGUUGUUGGGGAUUCAUUUCCUUAGUAACGUAGCUAACGCGUGAAGUUGACCGCCUGGGGGAGUACGGUCGCAAGAUUCAAAACUUAAAUGGAAUUGACGGGGUCAUAGCUGUUUCCU
This 587-nucleotide ribosomal RNA is filed under the name uncultured bacterium. Its description in RNAcentral is "partial 16S ribosomal RNA". It matches the Rfam family "Bacterial small subunit ribosomal RNA", at positions 355 to 1375 of the family's 1533-position model. The record is from RNAcentral.